GCUUCUGUAGCACAGCGAUUAGUGCAGUUCCCUUGUAAAGAACAGGUCGUAGGUUUGAAUCCUACCAGAAGCUCA
Molecule: transfer RNA, 75 nt
Filed under: Caudoviricetes sp.
Lineage: Duplodnaviria; Heunggongvirae; Uroviricota; Caudoviricetes
Description: tRNA-Thr
Rfam family: tRNA
About the family: Transfer RNA (tRNA) molecules are approximately 80 nucleotides in length. Their secondary structure includes four short double-helical elements and three loops (D, anti-codon, and T loops).
Source: RNAcentral